UUGCUACACUUGUUCUGACAUUGUGAAGGAGUUCAAUAAGCAUGAUAAAGAGCCAGGAAAGUACAUCAAGCACUGGAGAGGUACAAAACCAAAGACAGGAGCACCUUAUUCAUGUGAUGUUGGCUAUGAGCGAUUUCUUGGUCCUGAGGUCUUCUUCAGUCCUGAGAUUUAUAAUAGUGAUUUUACGAGCCCUUUACCUGAGGUGAUUGACAAAUGUAUUCAGUCUGCACCAAUAGACACAAGAAGAGCUUUAUAUAAGAAUAUUGUUUUAUCUGGAGGUUCAACCAUGUUCAAAGAUUUCCAUAGAAGAUUGCAGCGAGAUCUCAAGAAGAUAGUGGAUGACCGCAUUCUUGCAUCAGAUGCUCGGUUAGGUGGAAAUGUCAAAGCACAACCAGUUGAAGUGAAUGUGGUCAGCAAUCCUAUCCAGAGAUGUGCAGUUUGGUUUGGAGGUUCUGUACUGGCUUCAACUCCUGAAUUUUUUGCGGCUUGCCAUACGAAGGCAGAAUACGAGGAAUAUGG
RNAcentral lists this unclassified non-coding RNA (519 nucleotides) under Hevea brasiliensis (rubber tree). Lineage: Eukaryota; Viridiplantae; Streptophyta; Magnoliopsida; Malpighiales; Euphorbiaceae. The record is from RNAcentral.